UACGGGGGGGGCAAGCGUUGUUCGGAAUUACUGGGCGUAAAGGGCUCGUAGGUGGCCAACUAAGUCAGACGUGAAAUCCCUCAGCUUAACUGGGGAACUGCGUCUGAUACUGGAUGGCUUGAGUUUGGGAGAGGGAUGCGGAAUUCCAGGUGUAGCGGUGAAAUGCGUAGAUAUCGUAAGGAAGACCAGUGGCGAAGGCGGGUCUCUGGACAGUUCCUGACGCUGAGGCACGAAGGCCAGGGGAGCAAACGGG
Molecule: ribosomal RNA, 253 nt
Filed under: uncultured bacterium
Lineage: Bacteria
Description: partial 16S ribosomal RNA
Rfam family: Bacterial small subunit ribosomal RNA
Source: RNAcentral